UAUGAAGGGUGUUAGCGUUAAUCGGAAUUACUGGGCGUAAAGCGCGCGUAGGUGGUUCGUUAAGUUGGAUGUGAAAGCACCGGGCUCAACCUGGGAACUGCAUCCAAAACUGGCGAGCUAGAGUAUGGCAGAGGGUGGUGGAAUUUCCUGUGUAGCGGUGAAAUGCGUAGAUAUAGGAAGGAACACCAGUGGCGAAGGCGACCACCUGGGCUAAUACUGACACUGAGGAGCGAAGGCGUGGGGGGCAAACAGGAUUAGAUACCAGCGUAGUCC
RNAcentral lists this ribosomal RNA (273 nucleotides) under uncultured bacterium. RNAcentral describes it as "partial 16S ribosomal RNA". It matches the Rfam family "Bacterial small subunit ribosomal RNA", at positions 524 to 796 of the family's 1533-position model. The record is from RNAcentral.